UAGGAGCUAGCGACUGGCUGUUUCU
Molecule: non-coding RNA, 25 nt
Filed under: Rattus norvegicus (Norway rat)
Lineage: Eukaryota; Metazoa; Chordata; Mammalia; Rodentia; Muridae
Source: RNAcentral